This 204-nucleotide unclassified non-coding RNA is filed under the name Hevea brasiliensis (rubber tree). The record is from RNAcentral. Lineage: Eukaryota; Viridiplantae; Streptophyta; Magnoliopsida; Malpighiales; Euphorbiaceae.
GUCAUGUGAUUGAAUCUUUAGAUAUAUGAAAUGUGGCGUGGAAGAUUUAGCCUGAAUCAUCUGCUGCUUCAACCAAGUUGUAGUCAUGACAUGGCGCUGGGGUUCUUUGUGAUGGGCAAGUUUCCAUCAUAAGUGCAUUUUAGGACAUCUGGUGUCCUCACCACACGGGGUCCACCAGGCACCUUGCUGGGUUUGGGACGAAUG